GCCGGACAGAGCAAUUGCCUUCUAAGCAAUCGGUCACUGGUUCGAAUCCAGUACAACGCGCCA
Molecule: transfer RNA, 63 nt
Filed under: Escherichia coli
Lineage: Bacteria; Pseudomonadati; Pseudomonadota; Gammaproteobacteria; Enterobacterales; Enterobacteriaceae
Description: tRNA-Ser
Rfam family: tRNA
About the family: Transfer RNA (tRNA) molecules are approximately 80 nucleotides in length. Their secondary structure includes four short double-helical elements and three loops (D, anti-codon, and T loops).
Source: RNAcentral